This 497-nucleotide ribosomal RNA is filed under the name uncultured bacterium. Its description in RNAcentral is "partial 16S ribosomal RNA". It matches the Rfam family "Bacterial small subunit ribosomal RNA", at positions 28 to 507 of the family's 1533-position model. The record is from RNAcentral.
GAUGAACGCUGGCGGCGUGCCUAAUACAUGCAAGUCGAGCGAACAGACGAGGAGCUUGCUCCUCUGACGUUAGCGGCGGACGGGUGAGUAACACGUGGAUAACCUACCUAUAAGACUGGGAUAACUUCGGGAAACCGGAGCUAAUACCGGAUAAUAUAUUGAACCGCAUGGUUCAAUAGUGAAAGACGGUUUUGCUGUCACUUAUAGAUGGAUCCGCGCCGCAUUAGCUAGUUGGUAAGGUAACGGCUUACCAAGGCAACGAUGCGUAGCCGGCCUGAGAGGGUGAUCGGCCACACUGGAACUGAGACCCGGUCCAGACUCCUACGGGAGGCAGCAGUAGGGAAUCUUCCGCAAUGGGCGAAAGCUUGACGGAGCAACGCCGCGUGAGUGAUGAAGGUCUUCGGAUCGUAAAACUCUGUUAUUAGGGAAGAACAAAUGUGUAAGUAACUAUGCACGUCUUGACGGUACCUAAUCAGAAAGCCACGGCUAACUACGUG